UACGUAGGGGGCAAGCGUUGUCCGGAUUAUUGGGCGUAAAGAGCGUGUAGGCGGCCAGGUAGGUCAGCUGUGAAAACUCGAGGCUCAACCUCGAGAUGUCGGCUGAAACCAUCUGGCUAGAGUCCGGAAGAGGAGAAUGGAAUUCCCGGUGUAGCGGUGAAAUGCGCAGAUAUCGGGAAGAACACCCGUGGCGAAGGCGGUUCUCUGGGACGGUACUGACGCUGAGACGCGAAAGCGUGGGGAGCGAACAGG
This 252-nucleotide ribosomal RNA is filed under the name uncultured bacterium. RNAcentral's name for it is "partial 16S ribosomal RNA". It matches the Rfam family "Bacterial small subunit ribosomal RNA", at positions 524 to 776 of the family's 1533-position model. The record is from RNAcentral.